UUAGCCCUACGGGGGGCAGCAGUGAGGAAUAUUGGUCAAUGGUCGGGAGACUGAACCAGCCAAGCCGCGUGAGGGAUGAAGGUACAGAGUAUCGUAAACCUCUUUUGUCAGGGAACAAAGGCGGGGACGCGUCCCCGGAUGAGUGUACCUGAAGAAAAAGCAUCGGCUAACUCCGUGCCAGCAGCCGCGGUAAUACGGAGGAUGCGAGCGUUAUCCGGAUUUAUUGGGUUUAAAGGGUGCGUAGGCGGACUGUCAAGUCAGCGGUAAAAUACGGGGGCUCAACCUCCGCCCGCCGUUGAAACUGG
Molecule: ribosomal RNA, 305 nt
Filed under: uncultured bacterium
Lineage: Bacteria
Description: bacterial SSU rRNA
Rfam family: Bacterial small subunit ribosomal RNA
Source: RNAcentral